UACUCCCAUAUUUAUAUUCAAAAGUGUUUGCACUAAUCAUGUGUUGAACUGACAGCCUUUUUUUCUAUUUAGAAGAUUCCUCCACCCUGCAUCUAUUGUUACAGAUCAAGAUGUUCCAAAUGAAAUUAUUCUAAAGGCCCAGUGGUAGAAGUGAGUGUCCAUGCUGCUGGGGUGACACUUGUGGAUUUCCCCUCCAUGCAGUGGUUGAAGCAGGGGAUGCUGUUCCAAUCUCUCCUGACAUGUGAAUGUGUUAGACAUGGAUGAAAGAAAUGUCAGAAGUUUUCCUGCUUCAAAGACAACUACAAUGUUUAUAAGAUGCAAUCCCCAGCUUUUUUGAAGCAGAGGGCCCACAAGAAAAGUACCCGUAUAUAUACAGAUACACACAUGUAUG
RNAcentral lists this long non-coding RNA (391 nucleotides) under Pogona vitticeps (central bearded dragon). RNAcentral describes it as "lncRNA (ENSPVIG00000025575.1)". The record is from RNAcentral. Lineage: Eukaryota; Metazoa; Chordata; Lepidosauria; Squamata; Agamidae.